AGCGAACGCUGGCGGCAGGCUUAACACAUGCAAGUCGAACGGGCCCUUCGGGAUCAGCUGCUGUCGGGUGUGUAACGCGUGGGACCGUUCCUGCUUGUCUGGAAUAACACUUGGAAACUGGGGCUAAUGCCGGAUAAGCCCUGUUGGGGCAAGGUUUACUGCCGGAGUAUCGGCCCGCGUCUGAUUAGCUAGUUGGUGGGGUAACGGCCUACCACGGCGACGAUCAGUAGCUGGUCUGAGAGGAUGAUCAGCCACACUGGGACUGAGACACGGCCCAGACUCCUACGGGAGGUAGCAGUGGGGAAUAUUGGACAAUGGGCGCAAGCCUGAUCCAGCCAUGCCGCGUGAGUGAUGAAGGCCUUAGGGUUGUAAAGCUCUUUUAUCCGGGACGAUAAUGACGGUACCGGAGGAAUAAGCCCCGGCUAACUUCGUG
This 433-nucleotide ribosomal RNA is filed under the name uncultured bacterium. RNAcentral describes it as "partial 16S ribosomal RNA". It matches the Rfam family "Bacterial small subunit ribosomal RNA", at positions 29 to 507 of the family's 1533-position model. The record is from RNAcentral.